UGGCGUCAAAAGGUGAACUUCAUGUAGACGGUGAUCAGAAUCUAUCCAUACAAAAUAUCUGUAUAUAAAUCGCAUAUGUUGUGAACGAGUGAGAAUCGGCUAUAUGUGGAGGCGGCUCAACGAUUCAUCACUAAAUGGUGGUCCUCAAAUCAUUGGCUCAUCUAUAUUCAAAAUUUCGACUUUCAAAAUAAAGGUGUACUCUACCCAAUUCUUAACAUGUU
Molecule: long non-coding RNA, 221 nt
Filed under: Daucus carota (carrot)
Lineage: Eukaryota; Viridiplantae; Streptophyta; Magnoliopsida; Apiales; Apiaceae
Description: long non-coding RNA (DCAR_LNC002540)
Source: RNAcentral